UUGUAUUGUAUUUUGAGCCUCAAAAAAUGGAAGUGGCCCAGGCCUCUCUCGACCUCUGAGAGGGCCUGAUCA
Molecule: long non-coding RNA, 72 nt
Organism: Gavialis gangeticus (Gharial)
Lineage: Eukaryota; Metazoa; Chordata; Crocodylia; Gavialidae
Exons: 3
Source: RefSeq, a predicted model, not a curated record